ACUCCUACGGGAGGCAGCAGUGGGGAAUCUUAGACAAUGGGCGCAAGCCUGAUCUAGCCAUGCCGCGUGAGUGAUGAAGGCCUUAGGGUCGUAAAGCUCUUUCGCCAGGGAUGAUAAUGACAGUACCUGGUAAAGAAACCCCGGCUAACUCCGUGCCAGCAGCCGCGGUAAUACGGAGGGGGUUAGCGUUGUUCGGAAUUACUGGGGCGUAAAGCGUACGUAGGCGGAUCAGAAAGUUGGGGGUGAAAUCCCGGGGGCUCAACCCCGGAACUGCCUCCAAAACUCCUGGUCUUGAGUUCGAGAGAGGUGAGUGGAAUUCCAAGUGUAGAGGUGAAAUUCGUAGAUAUUUGGAGGAACACCAGUGGCGAAGGCGGCUCACUGGCUCGAUACUGACGCUGAGGUACGAAAGUGUGGGGAGCAAACAGGAUUAGAUACCCUGGUAGACUGUCA
RNAcentral lists this ribosomal RNA (450 nucleotides) under uncultured bacterium. Its description in RNAcentral is "bacterial SSU rRNA". It matches the Rfam family "Bacterial small subunit ribosomal RNA", at positions 335 to 799 of the family's 1533-position model. The record is from RNAcentral.